Molecule: non-coding RNA, 72 nt
Organism: Choiromyces venosus 120613-1
Lineage: Eukaryota; Fungi; Ascomycota; Pezizomycetes; Pezizales; Tuberaceae
Source: the annotation of a GenBank genome assembly
GGUUUCAUGGUAGAGUUGGUUAUCACAUCUGUCUAACACUGGUGGUCCCCGGUUCGAGUAUGGGUCAAAUCA